Long non-coding RNA from Myotis lucifugus (little brown bat), 202 nucleotides. RefSeq lists it as uncharacterized. The transcript has 3 exons. The record is from RefSeq and is a predicted model, not a curated record. Lineage: Eukaryota; Metazoa; Chordata; Mammalia; Chiroptera; Vespertilionidae.
UCUGGAGGCUAACGUCUGAAAUGAAGGUGUUGGCAGAGCCAUACCCUCUUCUGGAGGAAGAGUCUUCCUUGCCUCUUCUAGCUCUUGCAUAUUUCCAGGAUGUUUCUCCUCCUGUGGAGACUCAUGAGACACCUAUUAGUCAGUCUGGAGCCUACAGAAUAUAAUAGAAGUUGGGAUGACAGCUGCAAAACAAACAAUAACC